UAGGGAAUCUUCCACAAUGGACGCAAGUCUGAUGGAGCAACGCCGCGUGAGUGAAGAAGGUUUUCGGACCGUAAAGCUCUGUUGUUGGUGAAGAAGGAUAGAGGUAGUAACUGGCCUUUAUUUGACGGUAAUCAACCAGAAAGUCACGGCUAACUACGUGCCAGCAGCCGCGGUAAUACGUAGGUGGCAAGCGUUGUCCGGAUUUAUUGGGCGUAAAGCGAGCGCAGGCGGAAGAAUAAGUCUGAUGUGAAAGCCCUCGGCUUAACCGAGGAAUUGCAUCGGAAACUGUUUUCUUGAGUGCAGAAGAGGAGAGUAGAACUCCAUGUGCAGCGGUGGAAUGCGUAGAUAUAUGGAAGAAUACCAGUGGCGA
Molecule: ribosomal RNA, 370 nt
Filed under: uncultured bacterium
Lineage: Bacteria
Description: partial 16S ribosomal RNA
Rfam family: Bacterial small subunit ribosomal RNA
Source: RNAcentral